GACGAACGCUGGCGGCGUGCUUAACACAUGCAAGUCGAACGGAAAGGCCCUGCUUUUGUGGGGUGCUCGAGUGGCGAACGGGUGAGUAACACGUGAGUAACCUGCCCUUGACUUUGGGAUAACUUCAGGAAACUGGGGCUAAUACCGGAUAGGAGCUCCUGCUGCAUGGUGGGGGUUGGAAAGUUUCGGCGGUUGGGGAUGGACUCGCGGCUUAUCAGCUUGUUGGUGGGGUAGUGGCUUACCAAGGCGUUGACGGGUAGCCGGCCUGAGAGGGUGACCGGCCACAUUGGGACUGAGAUACGGCCCAGACUCCUACGGGAGGCAGCAGUGGGGAAUAUUGCACAGUGGGCGGAAGCCUGAUGCAGCAACGCCGCGUGCGGGAUGACGGCCUUCGGGUUGUAAACCGCUUUCGCCUGUGACGAAGCGUGAGUGACGGUAAUGGGUAAAGAAGCACCGGCUAACUACGUG
Molecule: ribosomal RNA, 468 nt
Filed under: uncultured bacterium
Lineage: Bacteria
Description: partial 16S ribosomal RNA
Rfam family: Bacterial small subunit ribosomal RNA
Source: RNAcentral